RNAcentral lists this transfer RNA (84 nucleotides) under Candidatus Tayloriibacteriota bacterium. RNAcentral's name for it is "tRNA-Leu". It matches the Rfam family "tRNA". From Rfam's summary of the family: Transfer RNA (tRNA) molecules are approximately 80 nucleotides in length. The record is from RNAcentral. Lineage: Bacteria; Candidatus Tayloriibacteriota.
GGGCGGGUGGUGAAAUGGCAGACACGCCAGCCUUAGGAGCUGGUGCCGCAAGGCAUGGAGGUUCAAGUCCUCUCCCGCCCACAA